GACGAAAGCUGGCGGCGUGCUUAACACAUGCAAGUCGAACGAAGAGCGAUGGAAGCUUGCUUCUAUCAAUCUAGUGGCGAACGGGUGAGUAACGCGUAAUCAACCUGCCCUUCAGAGGGGGACAACAGUUGGAAACGACUGCUAAUACCGCAUACGAUCUAAUUCUCGGCAUCGAGGAUAGAUGAAAGGUGGCCUCUACAUGUAAGCUAUCACUGAAGGAGGGGAUUGCGUCUGAUUAGCUAGUUGGAGGGGUAACGGCCCACCAAGGCGAUGAUCAGUAGCCGGUCUGAGAGGAUGAACGGCCACAUUGGGACUGAGACACGGCCCAGACUUCUACGGGAGGCAGCAGUGGGGAAUCUUCCGCAAUGGACGAAAGUCUGACGGAGCAACGCCGCGUGAGUGAUGACCGGCUUCGGGUUGUAAAGCUCUGUUAAUCGGGACGAAAGGCCUUCUUGCGAAUAGUGAGAAGGA
Molecule: ribosomal RNA, 471 nt
Filed under: Veillonella parvula
Lineage: Bacteria; Bacillati; Bacillota; Negativicutes; Veillonellales; Veillonellaceae
Description: bacterial SSU rRNA
Rfam family: Bacterial small subunit ribosomal RNA
Source: RNAcentral